AAACGACUCUCGGCAACGGAUAUCUCGGCUCUCGCAUCGAUGAAGAACGUAGCGAGAUGCGAUACUUGGUGUGAAUUGCAGAAUCCCGUGAACCAUCGAGUCUUUGAACGCAAGUUGCGCCCGAAGCCUUUAGGCCGAGGGCACGCCUGCCUGGGCGUCACAC
This 163-nucleotide ribosomal RNA is filed under the name Amelanchier aff. bartramiana KC-2017. RNAcentral describes it as "5.8S ribosomal RNA". It matches the Rfam family "5.8S ribosomal RNA". From Rfam's summary of the family: 5.8S ribosomal RNA (5.8S rRNA) is a component of the large subunit of the eukaryotic ribosome. It is transcribed by RNA polymerase I as part of the 45S precursor that also contains 18S and 28S rRNA. The record is from RNAcentral. Lineage: Eukaryota; Viridiplantae; Streptophyta; Magnoliopsida; Rosales; Rosaceae.